RNAcentral lists this ribosomal RNA (253 nucleotides) under uncultured bacterium. RNAcentral's name for it is "partial 16S ribosomal RNA". It matches the Rfam family "Bacterial small subunit ribosomal RNA", at positions 524 to 776 of the family's 1533-position model. The record is from RNAcentral.
UACGGAGGGUGCAAGCGUUAUCCGGAUUCACUGGGUUUAAAGGGUGCGUAGGUGGGUUGGUAAGUCAGUGGUGAAAUCUCCGUGCUUAACAUGGAAACUGCCAUUGAUACUACUGAUCUUGAAUUUUCAGGAGGUAAGCGGAAUAUGUCACGUAGCGGUGAAAUGCUUAGAUAUGACAUAGAACACCAAUUGCGAAGGCAGCUUACUACAGGAAUAUUGACACUGAGGCACGAAAGCGUGGGGAGCGAACAGG